GUGCUUGCUUUGGCAGCACAUAUACUAAAAUUAGAAUGAUACAGAGAUUAACAUGGCCCCUGCACAAGGAUUACAUGCAAAUUUGUGAAGCAUUCCAUAUUUUU
This is a small nuclear RNA of Monodelphis domestica (gray short-tailed opossum), 104 nucleotides long. The record is from Ensembl. Lineage: Eukaryota; Metazoa; Chordata; Mammalia; Didelphimorphia; Didelphidae.